UCGAGAAUUUUUCACAAUGGGCGCAAGCCUGAUGGAGCGACGCCGCGUGGGGGAUGAAGGGUUUCGAUCCGUAAACCCCUGUCAUUUGCGAACAAAAUUUAUGGGUGAACAGCCCAUGAACUGAUAGUAGUGAAAGAGGAAGGGACGGCUAACUCUGUGCCAGCAGCCGCGGUAAUACAGAGGUCCCAAGCGUUGUUCGGAUUCACUGGGCGUAAAGGGUGCGUAGGUGGCCAGGUAAGUUCGGUGUGAAAGCUCGGAGCUUAACUCCGAAAUGGCAUUGAAUACUAUCUGGCUAGAGGUUCGGAGGGGAGACUGGAAUUCUCGGUGUAGCAGUGAAAUGCGUAGAUAUCGAGAGGAACACCAGUGGCGAAGGCGAGUCUCUGGACGAAUCCUGACACUGAGGCACGAAAGCCAGGGGAGCAAACAG
This 427-nucleotide ribosomal RNA is filed under the name uncultured bacterium. RNAcentral describes it as "bacterial SSU rRNA". It matches the Rfam family "Bacterial small subunit ribosomal RNA", at positions 355 to 775 of the family's 1533-position model. The record is from RNAcentral.